UGGGGAAUUUUCCGCAAUGGGCGAAAGCCUGACGGAGCAAUACCGCGUGAAGGAAGACGGCCUAUGGGUUGUAAACUUCUUUUUUCAGGGAGGAAUUCAAUGACGUGUACCUGAAGAAUAAGCAUCGGCUAACUCCGUGCCAGCAGCCGCGGUAAGACGGAGGAUGCAAGUGUUAUCCGGAAUCACUGGGCGUAAAGCGUCUGUAGGUUGUUAAACAAGUCAACUGUUAAAUCUUGAGGCUCAACUUCAAAAUCGCAGUCGAAACUGUUUGACUAGAGUAUAGUAGGGGUAAAGGGAAUUUCCAGUGGAGCGGUGAAAUGCGUAGAUAUUGGAAAGAACACCGAUGGCGAAGGCACUUUACUGGGCUAUUACUGACACUCAGAGACGAAAGCUAGGGUAGCAAAUGGGAUUAGAUACCCCAGUAGUCCUAGCCGUAAACAAUGGAUACUAGAUGUUGAACAGAUCGACCUGUGCAGUAUCAAAGCUAACGCGUUAAGUAUCCCGCCUGGGAAGUAUGCUCGCAAGAGUG
RNAcentral lists this ribosomal RNA (529 nucleotides) under uncultured bacterium. RNAcentral's name for it is "bacterial SSU rRNA". It matches the Rfam family "Bacterial small subunit ribosomal RNA", at positions 355 to 896 of the family's 1533-position model. The record is from RNAcentral.